RNAcentral lists this ribosomal RNA (771 nucleotides) under uncultured Neocallimastigales. RNAcentral describes it as "partial large subunit ribosomal RNA". It matches the Rfam family "Eukaryotic large subunit ribosomal RNA", at positions 24 to 628 of the family's 3401-position model. Lineage: Eukaryota; Fungi; Neocallimastigomycota; Neocallimastigomycetes; Neocallimastigales. The record is from RNAcentral.
GUAGUCUCGCACAGAUGCAUAUCAAUAAGCGGAGGAAAAGAAACUAACAAGGAUUCCCUCAGUAACGGCGAGUGAAGCGGGAAGAGCUCAAAUUUGAAAUCUUGAAAGGUCACCUUUCACGAAUUGUAGUUUAAAGAAGUGUUUUCUGUUACGAUCGUAAUAUAAGUUCUUUGGAAUAGGACAUCACAGAGGGUGAGAAUCCCGUCUAUGAUUGCGAUUUGUAGCUUUGUGAUACACUUUCAAAGAGUCGGGUUGUUUGGGAAUGCAGCCCAAAACGGGAGGUAAAUUUCUUCUAAGGCUAAAUAUUGGCGAGAGACCGAUAGCGAACAAGUACCGUGAGGGAAAGAUGAAAAGAACUUUGAAAAGAGAGUUAAAUAGUACGUGAAAUUGUCAAAAGGGAAGCGUUUAACACCAGUGUUGUUUUCUGAAAAUCAACCUCUGUUAGCUUUAUGCAUGUUUGUUUAGACCUAAUCAGCUAUCUUGCAUGUUCUAUUGUUUGCAGUGGUGCACUUUUCAGUUUACAGGUCAACAUCAGUUUUUUUUACCGUAAAAAAGUUAAAGAAAGGUAGCUCAUGGCUCCGGUCGUGAGUGUUAUAGUCUUUUUCCUAUGCGGUAGGAGAGACUGAGGUCUGCAGUGUAGGCUAUUUGGCUAGAUACUCGGGUGCUAUGUGAUACCAUUUCAUAAACAACUUGUUGAUUAUGUUUUGUCUAUUGCAUACUCGCUUGUACUAUCAUACCUACGCUUAGGAUGUUGAGUCGUAGAGCACGCAG